Clupea harengus (Atlantic herring) is the source of this 2362-nucleotide RNA transcript. It is a transcript of the gene named bucky ball-like, with no coding region annotated. The transcript has 6 exons. The record is from RefSeq and is a predicted model, not a curated record. Lineage: Eukaryota; Metazoa; Chordata; Actinopteri; Clupeiformes; Clupeidae.
CACGGCUUCUUGUACUAACCACGAUAAGGUGGUAACAGACUGAUAUUUAUGUGUAUUUUAAUUAAUUAUAUAAACAUCGCCAUUCCGCUCCGCUUUCUCUCAACUUUGCAGACUCGAGUGUAGGCCUAUUGUAUCUGCGACUAAACUAAAACAUGGACGAAGCGAAUCAAUCCCAACGACCUGUCAGUCACCCAAGACCAUUUUUCUAUGUCCAACCGCCCUCUCAACCCUAUUACAUGUACCAGUGGCAUGGCAACAACCCAUACAACCACUACAACUUACCAGGAUCAGUUUCACCAGGUUUGGCCUUUGGACGUACACCCUUCUCUCCCUACACUCAUAUGCAGUAUCCAGGAUAUGGUAUGCCUCAUGCUCCAAUGCAUCUCCUUGACUACAGAAAAAUGUGUGACCCUCACUUCAAUCCUGCUGCAUAUGACACUGUCCGUCGCCACCAUCACCAUGGUAAUGUGUCAAAGGAGACUACCUGCUCGGGGGCUCAGACAGACCCCAGUGAUGCUUUGAACAAACUGAUUGAGUGCCUGGAUAAACUCCGUGCAAGUGAGGCCUCCUCGGAACGGGAACUAGACUCUGGUGUCAUUUCUCAGGCGUCUGGAGUCUGUUCACCAAGAAAAGAGCCACAACAAGAGGAGCCAAAGGAGGGUAAUAAACAAGAGCCAACACACAUUCGGGUCCACCAAGCUUCUUCUGGGGCUUUGUUCAGUGACGUGAGCACAGCUGUGUGUGAACCAGAUGCAGUCAAAGACAGAGGGAGGGCUGGUCAGUGGAUUCCGAUGGCGAGCCACCUCUGGACACGUCAUCUGUUCAUGAGAAGAGUGUGCGUCUUGAUGAGGAGGAAGAAAAUGACGAUGAUGCACAUUUUCAUCAUUACCAUACUGAGCAAGACUUGACUCUGACCAUGCACAAGAUCAUCCAGUUUGCUGUGGAGAAACAAAAACUCUUUAUUUCGAGGGUUUCAUUCCCACCUUGACUCCAGCCAAGGGCCUGAAGAUGGCACGAGACAAGGCCCAGAAGACACCAGCAGGGCAGCCCCUCUGAGUGAACUGAAGACCGUAAGCGUCCGGCUGCCUUUUGGCAAGGUGCUUUCUGCUGGAGUCAUUCAGAAGGACGGUCCUGUUAAAUCUCCCCCUGUCUCUCCACUGUCAGCUGGAAAUCCCUUCUAUUACAGCUACCGUGCCCCCAGCUGGCCCAUGAGAGGUUCAGUGUUCUUAGCCCCUCUCUAGAUGAGCUUUCCUCCAGGGAUGAGAUGUUUUCCACUGACCUUGAGGACAUGGAUCUGUUUCCAGGUCAUGUGUACACUGGGGGAAGGCAGCCACAAAUGUCUGUGAUGGAAGCGCAAAAACCAACACUGACUGAGAGUGUCACUACGUGCCACAGGAAGCAUACAUGCGACACAUGUGGACUUAGGGUGCCUAAGAGGGUGAUUACAGCAGAGGCAUGCAUCUCUGGAGCGUAUUGCUGUGAUGACCAGGCUGACUCCGAUGAGGUGGCCAUAGCUGAAGGCUGCAAGUCCUGUUUGAGGAAUUGUACAAAGAAGCUCCCUACCUGUCGAACAACCAUAAAGUCCACAAGUGUUCAACACCAAGCAAAACCCAAAUCUAGGAGGCUGUAUUGCAGAGGGAAAAUGGAUCAGCAAGAACCGUCAGAGAGUCAAGCAUGGGACUUCCCUAGGCACAAGUGCUGUGAAGAAUUGGCUGCUAUGACCGAGAGGAGCCACAGGCAUGAACCCAAGGAGGAUCACCACAGACCAUGCAGGGAGAAACAGUGGAGAGAAGGUGAGAGCCUGCAUCAGGACUGUCGAGAGAUUGGCGGUGGAAAGGGUUUGGUUAAAGCCCCAAAAGUUCAACCUUUGCCACAGAGACAAGUGAAAAGGGUCCAAAGGAGAUGUCUGGCUAAGCCACAACUGAGCCAGAACUCAAAAAUCCCAAACCCUGAAGACAAUGAUGAUGAAGAGGAGGAGGAUGAGGGAGAGGAAAUGAAGAGGCUUUAGUUUCACAUGGGGAAUGGGACCACAAACCGGAGGAACAGGAUGUUAAGUCCACAUUAAUGCACAAAGAUUGGGUGGUAAUGGGUGAAUUUACACAGAGGUUCACAGUAGUCACUGAAAAAUGCACAGAAUAAUAAAUCAUAAUCUUUGAGUUUGAUGUGCCAUCACAGAAUUUAUGUAUAAUAAUUUGCACUGUACUAGAUAUUUCAUUUUGGUGUAAGGUCAUUAUGACUGGUUCCACAUUGUUGUUGUUUGAUUUAUUUGAUUGUUGUCUUCUUGCUCUUUGCACUCCCUGAAUUUAUCUGGCUGUAAUGCUCUGCAGUGAAAGAUGGCAUUAAAAUAUUUGCAAUUCUCACA